Long non-coding RNA from Ictalurus punctatus (channel catfish), 551 nucleotides. RefSeq lists it as uncharacterized. Lineage: Eukaryota; Metazoa; Chordata; Actinopteri; Siluriformes; Ictaluridae. The transcript has 2 exons. The record is from RefSeq and is a predicted model, not a curated record.
ACUAUAUAGGCGUACUACGUCAGAAGUGUAAGGUGCUGUUUUAUACGCCCUACGUAGUACCCUACGUAUUCAAAGAGGAGGCAUUUUAGAUUCAACCCAAAUAUGCGCGGUCACGUGCUUACCACACGCCUAAGUGAAAGGAGAUUUUUCCUGACUUCAUUUGUUCUUCAUUUUGUACAAAAUACACUUGUAAGCACGUUUAACUACCCAUAUGACCUGGAAGAUAUUUAGGACAUGAUGAAAAUAUUGGCUUAAGCCAUGACCUCAGCACUAAUGUACUCAGUGGUUGGGAAAACUGACUUCCGGUCCUGAAUGCUUGUCUUGGUUUGGAUGGGCCUCCUGUCAGUCAUUUUAUAGACACUGCGGGACAGGGGAGAUAAUCCAAGGACAGAGAUUUAUGAAAAUGAGUAGGUAUUGGGGGGUAGGGUCAAUAAUUAAAAUCAAGCAAAAAUACCCUAAACACUUAAACAUCACACCCACAUAAAUGACUACACAGAUGGCUAAUCCUACCUAAUGCUUCCAUCCAUCUUCUAUACCGCUUAUCCUACAGG